CCUACGGGAUGCAGCAGUGGGGAAUAUUGCACAAUGGGGGAAACCCUGAUGCAGCGACGCCGCGUGAGUGAAGAAGUAUCUCGGUACGUAAAGCUCUAUCAGCAGGGAAGAAAAUGUCGGUACCUGACUAAGAAGCCCCGGCUAACUACGUGCCAGCAGCCGCGGUAAUACGUAGGGGGCAAGCGUUAUCCGGAUUUACUGGGUGUAAAGGGAGCGUAGACGGCAGCACAAGUCUGGAGUGAAAUCCCGGGGCUUAACCCCGGAACUGCUUUGGAAACUGUUGGACUUGAGUGCAGGAGGGGCAAUCGGAAUUCCUAGUGUAGCGGUGGAAUGCGUAGAUAUUAGGAGGAACACCAGUGGCGAAGGCGGAUUGCUAGACUGUAACUGACACUGAGGCACGAAAGCGUGGGGAGCAAACAGGAUUAGAUACCCCUGUAGUC
RNAcentral lists this ribosomal RNA (440 nucleotides) under uncultured bacterium. RNAcentral describes it as "partial 16S ribosomal RNA". It matches the Rfam family "Bacterial small subunit ribosomal RNA", at positions 338 to 795 of the family's 1533-position model. The record is from RNAcentral.